Molecule: long non-coding RNA, 1750 nt
Organism: Alosa sapidissima (American shad)
Lineage: Eukaryota; Metazoa; Chordata; Actinopteri; Clupeiformes; Clupeidae
Exons: 4
Source: RefSeq, a predicted model, not a curated record
UUGUCCAGGUCUUCGUCAGGUUAUUUUGUUAUUCUAUUCCAGCAAGAUAGCUAAAGCUGAGUAGAAUCACGAUAGUUUGGUUGCUAGAAGCUAGCACUAAGCUGUAAUGUUACCCACCUAAGUCGAUCCUGUUACCACUUUUAGAAGUGGAAACUAGGAGUAACGUUAACAUUAUCGUGUAAAAUGAUUUCAGAGCACAUCACAAGAACAACAAGAACAACCACGAACAAAAGUUGCAGCAUGCCAAACAGAUCCUCCUUGUGUGGCAUCUCGCGGGACGCAGCUUUCUUUUACUACAUUGAGACCUCACCAACGAAGCAAAGGCAUACAGGCAACGCCGCAAUGCCAAAGUGUGGCAGUAGGCACAACGGCUCCUUCAGUCUCUGGGCCAUUCUCUUCAACUCCUUUGAAGGGUCAGAGGCCAGCAAAGAGACCUCGCCUUGAAUUUGAGGAGGAGGUGGAAGAUGUUUCCUCUGCAUGCACUGAUCCUCAAGAUUCCACAUACGAUCCUGCACAGUCUGCUACAAUGGAGACAGAAUCAUCUCAGCUUUUCCUGUUCGAGAUCUGCCCUGUGUGCACAAGAACCUGUACAUUCCUGCCACGCAGAAGAGGGUCCUUCCUAGCGAUCGACCAACUAUGCCCUCACUGCAAGUUCUUCCGACAGUGGAAGAGUCAGCCAGUUAUUGGGAGCACCCCUGUGGGCAACCUUCAGCUGUCUGCUGCCAUUUACUUUUGUGGAGCUUCAUUUUCAAAGAUGAAAAAGGUAUCAUUGUGCUCAUUGUCCCCUGCAGGAAGUGUUUGUCUUUCACUGAUGACUUCACAACUGAUCUACUUUUAAUUAUUUUAUAGAUAUUUGAUGAAAUGCAGCUGAGAACACACACGUAUGAUGCCUUCAGAAGACAUUGUGUACAGAAAUGGGUUUUGUUUAGUGAAAGUGUGAGAUCAGGCCUAAUUGCCAGCCAUCAAAAUGCAAAUCAUUACAGUUUUAGGCUGCUCUAACUGAAAGGCACUUGUAACAACACCGGUUAGAGUACAGCUUUGGCACAGCCUACAGGUUUAGCCAAUGCUUUUGCUGUGAGUUAAUAGUAGUAUUUUGCUUGGUGUGUGCUUACAAAAGUGACAAGUGACAAUUGUUACAACAUUUCUGCUGUUUCAUUUAGGUUGUACCUUGCAGCUAUGCAUUUCAAUGAGAAUGCUCAGCGCCUACAACGGAAGACAGCCAAGGGGAAACUAAUGUACAGGCUUGUGUUUCCAAAGGCCAAAAGGGGAGGUUACACGGUCAAAAAAGUGAAGACAGAGCCAACGAUUUGCUAUGUCUUUAACCUGAUAAGACUGGUGUUCGAAGAGAUCGUCCAUGACUCCCUUCGUUAUGUGGAUGCCGUCCAGCAGAUUCCUGUGCCCCAAGACUUGUGUGCUCAGCUUCCCAGACCUUCCAGGGAGGAUGCUGUCGCUGAGCAUGUGUCACGGUUCAGUCGAGGGGGGGUCUGAACCCGACAUACUGCCCUGAUGUUUCCGGAAACUCCCUCCGUAUGCGCAGCACCACACAAGAGGGGAUCACAACACGGACACUUCGCCCAAGGAAACCCCAGCACCAGCUCACGAAAGAUCUGUAGGCCAAGUGUCUGCAUUGCCUUCAGAGAAAUCAGAGUGGAAAGGCACACUUUUUUACUAUUUAUUUUUUGAAUAUUUUAUAUUUUUGAGUAUAGCACUGUAUGAUUGUGUUGAAACAAAAUAAAGUUUGUCAUUUUAC